CUACGGGAUGCUCCAGUGAGGAAUAUUGCACAAUGGGGGAAACCCUGAUGCAGCAACGCCGCGUGGAGGAUGACGCAUUUCGGUGUGUAAACUCCUUUUAUGAGUCAAGAAAAUGACGGUAGCUCAUGAAUAAGCACCGGCUAACUCCGUGCCAGCAGCCGCGGUAAUACGGAGGGUGCAAGCGUUACUCGGAAUCACUGGGCGUAAAGGACGCGUAGGCGGGCUUGUAAGUCAGAUGUGAAAUCCUAUGGCUCAACCAUAGAACUGCAUUUGAAACUACGAGUCUAGAGUAUGGGAGGGGGAGAUGGAAUUAGUAGUGUAGGGGUAAGAUCCGUAGAUAUUACUAGGAAUACCGAAAGCGAAGGCGAUCUCCUGGAACAUAACUGACGCUAAGGCGUGAAAGCGUGGGGAGCAAACAGGAUUAGAUACCCCUGUAGUC
RNAcentral lists this ribosomal RNA (439 nucleotides) under uncultured bacterium. RNAcentral's name for it is "partial 16S ribosomal RNA". It matches the Rfam family "Bacterial small subunit ribosomal RNA", at positions 339 to 795 of the family's 1533-position model. The record is from RNAcentral.